Molecule: ribosomal RNA, 2021 nt
Filed under: Cohnella panacarvi Gsoil 349
Lineage: Bacteria; Bacillati; Bacillota; Bacilli; Caryophanales; Paenibacillaceae
Description: bacterial LSU rRNA
Rfam family: Bacterial large subunit ribosomal RNA
Source: RNAcentral
AGUGCGCACGGAGGAUGCCUAGGCGCCAGGAGCCGACGAAGGACGCGACGAACAGCGAUAUGCUUCGGGGAGCUGUAAGUGAGCUUUGAUCCGGAGAUUUCCGAAUGGGGAAACCCAGCCGAGGUAAUGCUCGGUUACUCAUCACUGAAUACAUAGGUGAUGUAGAGGCACACCAGGGGAACUGAAACAUCUAAGUACCCUGAGGAAGAGAAAACAACAGUGAUUCCGUCAGUAGCGGCGAGCGAACGCGGAUUAGCCCAAACCAAGGGGCUUGCCCCUUGGGGUUGUGGGACGUCUCACAUGGAGUUACAAAGGGAUAGGGUAGACGAAGAGGUCUGGAAAGGCCCGUCGUAGAAGGUAACAACCCUGUAGUCGAAAGUCUAUCCCCUCCGAGACGGAUCCCGAGUACCGCGAGACACGUGAAACCUCGUGGGAAUCCGGCAGGACCAUCUGCCAAGGCUAAAUACUCCCUGGCGACCGAUAGUGAAGCAGUACCGUGAGGGAAAGGUGAAAAGCACCGCGGGAGCGGAGUGAAAAAGAACCUGAAACCGUGCGCUUACAAGAAGUCAGAGCCCGAUCUAGGGGUGAUGGCGUGCCUUUUGUAGAAUGAACCGGCGAGUUACGUUCACGUGCAAGGUUAAGUCGAGGAGACGGAGCCGAAGCGAAAGCGAGUCUGAAUAGGGCGCUAUAGUACGUGGUCGUAGACCCGAAACCGUGUGAUCUACCCCUGUGCAGGGUGAAGGUGAGGUAAUACUCACUGGAGGCCCGAACUCGUGAGCGUUGAAAAGCUCUGGGAUGACGUGGGGGUAGGGGAGAAAUUCCAAUCGAACUCGGAGAUAGCUGGUUCUCCCCGAAAUAGCUUUAGGGCUAGCCUCGAGGUUGAGCAUCAUGGAGGUAGAGCACUGAUUGGGUGCGGGGCCCGCCAAGGGUUACCAAGUCCAGUCAAACUCCGAAUGCCAUGUAUGUAUACUCGGGAGUCAGACGGCGAGUGCUAAGAUCCGUCGUCAAGAGGGAAAGAGCCCAGAUCAUCAGCUAAGGUCCCCAAGUGUGUGUUAAGUGGGAAAGGAUGUGGAGUUGCGAAGACAACCAGGAUGUUGGCUUAGAAGCAGCCACCAUUUAAAGAGUGCGUAAUAGCUCACUGGUCGAGUGACUCUGCGCCGAAAAUGUAACGGGGCUAAACACACCACCGAAGCUAUGGCAUGUACCUAGUGGUACUUGGGUAGGGGAGCGUUGAAUGCGGGUUGAAGUCGUACCGGAAGGAACGGUGGACUGCAUUCAAGUGAGAAUGCCGGUAUGAGUAACGAAAAGAUCAGUGAGAAUCUGAUCCGCCGAAAGCCUAAGGGUUCCUGGGGAAGGUUCGUCCGCCCAGGGUAAGUCGGGACCUAAGGCGAGGCCGAAAGGCGUAGUCGAAGGACAACAGGUUGAAAUUCCUGUACCACCGUAAUCCGUUANGAGCGAUGGGGGGACGCAGGAGGGCAAAGACGCAGGCUGAUGGAAUAGCCUGUCUAAGCAGUGAGAGGUGUGUGUAGGCAAAUCCGCACACUGAUACCUCAAGCUGUGANGGGGAGGGAAAAUUACAGUACCGAAGGUCUUGCACCCACGCUGCCAAGAAAAGCCUCUAGCCAGGAGAAGGUGCCCGUACCGCAAACCGACACAGGUAGGCGAGAUGAAAAUUCUAAGGCGCGCGGAAGAACUCUCGUUAAGGAACUCGGCAAAAUGACCCCGUAACUUCGGGAGAAGGGGUGCCCCGGUAGCGUGAAUAGCGCGAGGGGGCCGCAGUGAAGAGGCCCAAGCGACUGUUUAGCAAAAACACAGGUCUGUGCGAAGCCGUAAGGCGAAGUAUACGGGCUGACGCCUGCCCGGUGCUGGAAGGUUAAGGGGAGCGGUUAGGAGCAAUCCGAAGCUGUGAACCGAAGCCCCAGUAAACGGCGGCCGUAACUAUAACGGUCCUAAGGUAGCGAAAUUCCUUGUCAGGUAAAUUCUGACCCGCACGAAUGGCGUAACGAUCUUGGGCGCUGUCU